UUAUUGGGCGUAAGAGCUCGUAGGCGGUUUGUCGCGUCUGCUGUGAAAACUGGGGGCUCAACCCCCAGCCUGCAGUGGGUACGGGCAGACUAGAGUGCGGUAGGGGAGAUUGGAAUUCCUGGUGUAGCGGUGGAAUGCGCAGAUAUCAGGAGGAACACCGAUGGCGAAGGCAGAUCUCUGGGCCGUAACUGACGCUGAGGAGCGAAAGGGUGGGGAGCAAACAGGCUUAGAUACCCUGGUAGUCCACCCCGUAAACGUUGGGAACUAGUUGUGGGGUCCAUUCCACGGAUUCCGUGACGCAGCUAACGCAUUAAGUUCCCCGCCUGGGGAGUACGGCCGCAAGGCUAAAACUCAAAGGAAUUGACGGGGACCCGCACAAGCGGCGGAGCAUGCGGAUUAAUUCGAUGCAACGCGAAGAACCUUACCAAGGCUUGACAUAUACGAGAACGGGCUAGAAAUAGUCAACUCUUUGGACACUCGUAAACAGGUGGUGCAUGGUUGUCGUCAGCUCGUGUCGUGAGAUGUUGGGUUAAGUCCCGCAACGAGCGCAACCCUCGUUCUAUGUUGCCAGCACGUAAUGGUGGGAACUCAUGGGAUACUGCCGGGGUCAACUCGGAGGAAGGUGGGGAUGACGUCAAAUCAUCAUGCCCCUUAUGUCUUGGGCUUCACGCAUGCUACAAUGGCCGGUACAAAGGGCUGCAAUACCGUAAGGUGGAGCGAAUCCCAAAAAGCCGGUCCCAGUUCGGAUUGAGGUCUGCAACUCGACCUCAUGAAGUCGGAGUCGCUAGUAAUCGCAGAUCAGCAACGCUGCGGUGAAUACGUUCCCGGGUCUUGUACACACCGCCCGUCAAGUCAUGAAAGUCGGUAACACCUGAAGCCGGUGGCCCAACCCUUGUGGAGGGAGCCGUCGAAGUGGGAUCGGU
Molecule: ribosomal RNA, 923 nt
Filed under: Microbacterium sp.
Lineage: Bacteria; Bacillati; Actinomycetota; Actinomycetes; Micrococcales; Microbacteriaceae
Description: bacterial SSU rRNA
Rfam family: Bacterial small subunit ribosomal RNA
Source: RNAcentral